GGUUCCAUGGUGUAAUGCUUAGCACUCUGCAAUUUGAAUCCAGUGAGCUGAGUUCAAACCUUAGUGGAACCU
This is a non-coding RNA of Pangasius djambal, 72 nucleotides long. The record is from the annotation of a GenBank genome assembly. NCBI's taxonomy places the organism in Eukaryota, Metazoa, Chordata, Actinopteri, Siluriformes, Pangasiidae.